GCCUACGGGUGGCUGCAGUGGGGAAUAUUGGACAAUGGGCGAAAGCCUGAUCCAGCCAUGCCGCGUGUGUGAAGAAGGCCUUCGGGUUGUAAAGCACUUUCAGUGGGGAAGAAAGCCUUGGGGCUAAUACCCUCGAGGAAGGACAUCACCCACAGAAGAAGCACCGGCUAACUCCGUGCCAGCAGCCGCGGUAAUACGGAGGGUGCGAGCGUUAAUCGGAAUUACUGGGCGUAAAGCGCGCGUAGGCGGUCUGAUAAGCCGGUUGUGAAAGCCCCGGGCUCAACCUGGGAACGGCAUCCGGAACUGUCAGGCUAGAGUGCAGGAGAGGAAGGUAGAAUUCCCGGUGUAGCGGUGAAAUGCGUAGAGAUCGGGAGGAAUACCAGUGGCGAAGGCGGCCUUCUGGACUGACACUGACGCUGAGGUGCGAAAGCGUGGGUAGCAAACAGGAUUAGAUACCCGGGUAGUC
RNAcentral lists this ribosomal RNA (466 nucleotides) under Vreelandella stevensii. Its description in RNAcentral is "partial 16S ribosomal RNA". It matches the Rfam family "Bacterial small subunit ribosomal RNA", at positions 337 to 795 of the family's 1533-position model. Lineage: Bacteria; Pseudomonadati; Pseudomonadota; Gammaproteobacteria; Oceanospirillales; Halomonadaceae. The record is from RNAcentral.